Long non-coding RNA from Lathyrus oleraceus (garden pea), 1973 nucleotides. RefSeq lists it as uncharacterized. The record is from RefSeq and is a predicted model, not a curated record. The transcript has 3 exons. Lineage: Eukaryota; Viridiplantae; Streptophyta; Magnoliopsida; Fabales; Fabaceae.
AUUGGGAACGCUAUUCAUUAUUUCAUUCAACGGUUUUUAGGGUUUCGCUCUCUUUUCGUUCCUCCGAUCUCUCUCAAUUUCCGGUAUCCUCCUUAACCUAUCAGUGUUUAACGUCGAUCGGCACCGGAAGCUCAUAUAUCCGAUGGAGAUUUACACGUCGAUUAUGGUUUCUUUCAGAUCUGAUUCUCCAUUCGUCAGAUCCACGGUGCAUAGAUGCGAUCUUCACGCUUGUCUUGGUUUCUCGAGUAUUUCAUCGGAGAAUUCCUUGUUUCUUUUGUAAAUCAAGGUUAUCGAGUUUUUUUUCAGGUAUAGAGGCGGAUCGCGAAGCAUAUCGGGAGCAGACUUAUAUUUACUGGUGAUUCAGCUCUUGAACUGUAGGCACUGUAUGAAGUUUGAUACAUCAUGCAUAUAAGUUGCAGAUCAUGGAUGUUAUAACCAUGUAUAUGAUUGAGAGCAUUGCAGGAGAGAUAUAAUGGAUGUAGGAUGUAUCAGGAUUAUAUUUCUUGAUGCCCUGAGUGUGUUGAGAAUUAUAUUCUGAAUUAUCUUGUCAUCCGACCUUUGCCAUGUCAGGUGCGCUUGCUUGGCAGGUCAAAAAAUAAAAUAAAAAAAGAUUUGUUGGUUUUUGGGAGAGAUCGCACGGGGAUUUUGCCCGGGUUCUCUACCCUGUGUGGUGUUUGUCUCUAUUUUUUUCAUUCUUAUUUAUUAUUCCGUAACUCGCUUUACUCUCCAUUGCACCGUCCAAGAAAUUCUUCGACUCCAUAUCGAGGUAUUAUUCAUCCAUUACCAAUUAUCAAUGGUAAAUAACAAUUUAAUUCAUAUUAAUUUAGGUAUCAAUGUAAGUAUCAAUCUUAAUUUUUUGUUAUUCUAGAUUAAUCUAUUAUGAACUUCAGUCUCAAUUUUAAUUAAUUUCUGUUAAAAUCAAUUUCAUAGUUGUCAAUUCAGAAUUAGCGUUCAUCAGCUGUCAUACUGUUUCAAUUCUUAUUAUAAAUAUUAAUAUUAAUUUGAAAUACAGUAUUUUGUUGAAUCAAAGUAUAGUUAUUCGUGAAUGGUAAUAUGACCUAAAUGUUGUGGCGGGAGAAACAAGUGGUUUUAAAAUGCAGAAUAUUGAUGGGGAUGAUGUUUUAUGGUUAUACUUUCAUAUCAUAUGAAAUUCGUUUCAUGUAUCGGUUAGUCAACAUACUAAUAUGAUUUACGCCAGUGUUAUCUCAAAUGUUAGCCUCUGUUAGCACCUGUGCAUCUAUUGUCCUGUGACAUUCAUUUGCAUCUAUAUAGUUUGAUCACAAUUUACUGGUACCAACUUGGGGAAUGUAAUUGCACCGUGAGAACAACACUGCUGGAAUGAAGAAAUGCUUUUGAUUCAGGAAACUUCUGUUUAGGGCCAUCCUCUUCAAUGUUCAAGGUACAAAUUAGCAUUGGUCUAAAAUUUCAUUUGUAGAUGUUGAGGUGGAUUUUCUGGUUAAUCGAAGCUGCAUAAUGCCUAUCUGGUUUUGAGGUGAGAUUGACGGAAUGAUAGUGAGUGACUGCAGUGAGAAUUUCGUGUCAGAAUGUGGCUGCAGCGAUCUGAUUUCUUGUUUUGCCACCCUUUUCUUCACACCAUCAUGAAUUGGUUUCACCCUGUAUGACAAAUUCCAGAAUGAGGAAUUCCUCAUAGCCCUAUUCUUUUACCCGAUAUGAACAUAUUAGAGUGAGGCAGUGUUUUGGAGUUUUGGCAGGAUGUGCAGCCGGUAACUUGUCAUUUUGUUGAAGUCCUCGAUGCUGAAAACUCAUUGAGCUUUAUCUCAAUAAUUCUUUUUAUAUAUUUUAUAUUAAUUUGUCAAUAUUUCAGUUGACUAGUAGAGUCGCAUUGAGAAGUAAUUUAAUUGGUUUUAGGGGUUGUGAUGUUUCUAAUAUUGAAUUACAGCUGAUCUGAUAUUUAUCUUUUAAUUAAUGAACAAUAAAACUUGGAUAUUUCUUACCUCAUCAUUUCCAUGAAA